This 339-nucleotide ribosomal RNA is filed under the name Triticum aestivum (bread wheat). Its description in RNAcentral is "partial small subunit ribosomal RNA". The record is from RNAcentral. Lineage: Eukaryota; Viridiplantae; Streptophyta; Magnoliopsida; Poales; Poaceae.
AUGCGCCGGGUCAGGUCCGUGGGCUGGGUCACGGCCGUGACGACAACGGGAACUGCAACAGCUCUCACGAUGACGAGGUUGUGGCUUAGGAGGAGAAUGUUAGCAAUAAGCCACGCCACGGUGGUGACCAACAUGUGUGUAGGUCGAGUCGGGACACCGGUGCGUGGCCGCGUCCAUAGCCGUGGUCAGUUAGCCCGGUUGAGUGUGUUGCAGAGCAGCGGCUCACGUUCACUGGAGACCGAGUUACUCGCGUGCAUGGGUUGCUCGUUCCGUUGUGAUCUGGUUAGUCCAGAUAAGGUAGAGUCAGGAUUAGUUAGUGCAUGUGUGGGCAUGGGUUAG